Molecule: ribosomal RNA, 437 nt
Filed under: uncultured bacterium
Lineage: Bacteria
Description: partial 16S ribosomal RNA
Rfam family: Bacterial small subunit ribosomal RNA
Source: RNAcentral
CUACGGGGCGCUGCAGUGAGGAAUAUUGCACAAUGGGGGGAACCCUGAUGCAGCAACGCCGCGUGGAGGAUGACGCAUUUCGGUGUGUAAACUCCUUUUAUAUGUCAAGAAAAUGACGGUAGCAUAUGAAUAAGCACCGGCUAACUCCGUGCCAGCAGCCGCGGUAAUACGGAGGGUGCAAGCGUUAUCGGAAUCACUGGGCGUAAGGACGCGUAGGCGGGUUGGAAAGUCAGGUGUGAAAUCCUACAGCUUAACUGUAGAACUGCACUUGAAACUUCUAAUCUAGAGUAUGGGAGGGGGAGAUGGAAUUAGUGGUGUAGGGGUAAAAUCCGUAGAUAUCACUAGGAAUACCUAAAGCGAAGGCGAUCUCCUGGAACAUUACUGACGCUAAGGCGUGAAAGCGUGGGGAGCAAACAGGAUUAAAUACCCGGGUAGUC